UUGGAGGGCAAGUUGGUGCCAGCAGCCGCGGUAAUUCCAGCUCCAAUAGCGUAUAUUAAAGUUGUUGCAGUUAAAAAGCUCGUAGUUGAAUUUCGGGGUUCUACCGUUGGUCGGGCUAACCAGUCUGUACUAGCGUGUAGAAUUCUUACCUUCUGGGGAACCAUCAUGUUAUUAAUUUAGCGUGGUAGGAAACCAGGACCUUUACCUUGAAAAAAUUAGAGUGUUCAAAGCAGGCUUACGUCUGAAUACAUUAGCAUGGAAUAAUAAAAUAGGACGGUGGUCCUGUUUUGUUGG
Molecule: ribosomal RNA, 294 nt
Filed under: uncultured Scutellospora
Lineage: Eukaryota; Fungi; Glomeromycota; Glomeromycetes; Diversisporales; Gigasporaceae
Description: partial 18S ribosomal RNA
Rfam family: Eukaryotic small subunit ribosomal RNA
Source: RNAcentral